RNAcentral lists this ribosomal RNA (596 nucleotides) under Trichosporon asteroides. RNAcentral's name for it is "eukaryotic LSU rRNA". It matches the Rfam family "Eukaryotic large subunit ribosomal RNA", at positions 72 to 659 of the family's 3401-position model. The record is from RNAcentral. Lineage: Eukaryota; Fungi; Basidiomycota; Tremellomycetes; Trichosporonales; Trichosporonaceae.
GGAUUCCCUAGUACGGCGAGUGAAGCGGGAAGAGCUCAAAUUUGAAAUCUGGCAGUCUUCGAUUGUCCGAGUUGUAAUCUAUAGAGGCGUUUUCCGUGCCGGACCGUGUCCAAGUCUCCUGGAAAGGAGUAUCAAAGAGGGUGAUAAUCCCGUACUUAACACGACCACCGGUGCUCUGUGAUACGUCUUCUACGAGUCGAGUUGUUUGGGAAUGCAGCUCAAAAUGGGUGGUGAAUUCCAUCUAAAGCUAAAUAUUGGCGAGAGACCGAUAGCGAACAAGUACCGUGAGGGAAAGAUGAAAAGCACUUUGGAAAGAGAGUUAAACAGUACGUGAAAUUGUUGAAAGGGAAACGAUUGAAGUCAGUCGUGUUCUUUGGAUUCAGCCAGUUCUGCUGGUCUACUUCCUUGGAACGGGUCAACAUCAGUUUUGUCCGGUGGAUAAAGGUAGUAGGAAUGUGACUUCUCCGGAAGUGUUAUAGCCUAUUAUCACAUACACUGGGUGAGACUGAGGACUGCAGCUCGCCUUUAUGGCCGGUCUUCGGACACGUUCGAGCUUAGGAUGUUGACAUAAUGGCUUUAAACGACCCGUCUGAAAA